This is an RNA transcript of Mya arenaria, 1899 nucleotides long. It is a transcript of the gene named troponin T, skeletal muscle-like, with no coding region annotated. The record is from RefSeq and is a predicted model, not a curated record. The transcript is spliced from 12 exons. NCBI's taxonomy places the organism in Eukaryota, Metazoa, Mollusca, Bivalvia, Myida, Myidae.
GCCAUUGACUGGAAGAGUCUACUUUUUCACUAAUUAGAGAUCCUAGCAAACACGUACGCCUUCUGAUUCCUUCUCCAACGCAGCUAAACGGAAAUAUAAUAAUUCGAGACUUUUCGCCAAACCAGUGCAGGUCCCAAGAAUGUCAGACACAGAAGAACAUACUUAUGAGGAGACGCUGCCCUCGUUUGAGGAUUUGCAGCAGCGUAAGGAGCAUAAGCUGGAAGAUGAUAUGAAGGAAUACACCGAGAUGAGGAAGGCCGAGAAGGAACGCGAGGCACAGGACAUAGCGGAGCUCAAGAAGAAAAGGGCUGAGCGUCAGUUGGAACGUGUGGAGGAGGAGAAGAGGAUGGCAGAACAGCGACGUGAAGAAGAGGCACGCAGGAAGGUUGAGGAGGAGGAGCGUAAGCGUCGUAAGACUGAGGAAGAGGAGAAGCGUCGUCGGGAGAAGGAGCGUCGCCGUCAGGAGGCAGAGAAAAGGAAAGGACCCAAGACUCCCAACUUUACCAUUGUGAAGAAGGAAGGUGGUGGCUCCUCAGAAGAGGACACUGAGAAGAAGGCUCCUCAGAAGACUAAGGAAGACCUUGAACGCGAAAAGAAGGCUGAGCUGUCCAAGCGGAUGGGCCCCCUUCCGGACAUUGGUUCCCUGAACCAGGAGCAGCUCAAGGAGAAGGCCAAGGAGCUGCAUGACCAGAUUUGGAAUGUUGUCAGCAACAUGUACAACAUGAUGGAGAGGUACAAGAGACAGCAGUAUGACAUUGUGGAGCUUCAAGAAAGAGCACGUGCCAUGAGCAAAACGAAGAAGAGGGGCCUUGCAAGUGUUCAGGUGGAUGACUCAUAUGACAGAAUGAAUGACAGAUUUGGAAACGCACCACCCAAAAUCCUGCUGUGCAGUAAAUAUGAGAGGCAUACAGACCAGCGCUCUUUUGACCAACGCUACAAAUUGUAUGAAGAACUUUCUGCUGAUAAGCCCCUCCCAGAAAUGUUGAGGCUUCAGGCUUACGGACCAGAUAGCCAAGAAGAAUAACAUUGCCACGACAACGGUUGCCAAGGAGGAUAUUGAUUUAAGCCUGAAAACAUUUUAUGCGUUUGCAUAGAUAUCCACCUCUUUUCGUGCUUUCUUCUCUGUGUUCUGCUGUCACCAUGACAACCAACAAAUACCUCAUCAAUUGCGUUGUCCAUUAUCAGUGUGUCAGUCUGAGUUUUCAGUGUCUCGUCAUCGAUCCUUGGACAAUCUUCUCACCAUCAGAGUGCCUUAAUUUUCAAGCUUUCGACACAAAAUUGUGCUUCAUACCAAAAGCUUUAGUUUUCAAGCUUUCGAAAAAAAAUCAUGCUAAAUUGCAUCUCAAACUGUUUAUAUGAGGAUUCUUUUGGAAGUUUUAUGGAUGUAAAACUUUUUAGACGUUUAAUUUUUUGGCUUAAGUUUGUUUUAUUAUAUGCCUUUUUUAUGUAUGAGUUCAUGUUAAUGAUAUAUCUGUUAACCUUGGCAACCGUUGAUGUUUCUUUUCUUAUGUUUUACAAAUUUGUAUAAAUAUUUAUUGUGUAACUGUGUAUAUAGUGUGUUGACUUUUGUUUAAAUCUUUAAAAUUCUUUUCUUGAAAACCAAACUAAUUUUAUUGAAAUACAAAGUUGUAAUUUGGUUUGUAUAGUGAUCAACUAAGUUGUUAUUGUGUUUGAAUAGUGAAAAGGUUUUAAAUAGGGUAUUUCUUUUUUAAAAGUCAAUGUAGAAUUAACAACAUAAUAGUAGAUAUUUUAAAUUGAUUGAACAAAUAUUAACUCUGUCUCUUGUAUGUAUGUGAUCAUCUGUGUAUAAUACACUGUCUAGCUGCUAAAAUGUUGCUCCUUGUAUGUAUGCCUGUUAACAACCGAUGUAUUAACAAUAAAGUUAAAAAACUAAAAAUC